This 460-nucleotide ribosomal RNA is filed under the name uncultured bacterium. Its description in RNAcentral is "partial 16S ribosomal RNA". It matches the Rfam family "Bacterial small subunit ribosomal RNA", at positions 338 to 795 of the family's 1533-position model. The record is from RNAcentral.
CCUACGGGAGGCAGCAGUGAGGAAUAUUGGUCAAUGGACGAGAGUCUGAACCAGCCAAGUAGCGUGAAGGAUGACUGCCCUAUGGGUUGUAAACUUCUUUUAUAUGGGAAUAAACUGUUCCACGUGUGGGUUUUUGUAUGUACCAUAUGAAUAAGGAUCGGCUAACUCCGUGCCAGCAGCCGCGGUAAUACGGAGGGUCCGAGCGUUAUCCGGAUUUAUUGGGUUUAAAGGGAGCGUAGGCGGAUUGUUAAGUGAGUUGUGAAAUGUUGCGGCUCAACCGUGAAAUUGCAGUGGAAACUGGGAGUCUUGAGUGCGGUAGAGGUAGGCGGAAUUCGUGGUGUAGCGGUGAAAUGCUUAGAUAUCACGAAGAACUCCGAUUGCGAAGGCAGUUCACUGUACUGCAACUGACGCUGAGGCUCGAAAGUGUGGGUAUCAAACAGGAUUAGAUACCCUGGUAGUC